This 530-nucleotide ribosomal RNA is filed under the name Phyllodactylus tuberculosus (yellowbelly gecko). RNAcentral describes it as "LSU rRNA". It matches the Rfam family "Archaeal large subunit ribosomal RNA", at positions 1909 to 2671 of the family's 2987-position model. Lineage: Eukaryota; Metazoa; Chordata; Lepidosauria; Squamata; Phyllodactylidae. The record is from RNAcentral.
GGCCUUUAGCCCUACAAGUAUUAAAGGUCUCGCCUGCCCAGUGACUCACUUCAACGGCCGCGGUACCCUAACCGUGCAAAGGUAGCGUAAUCACUUGCCCUCCAAAUAGGGGCUCGUAUGAAUGGCUAAAUGAGGGCCCAACUGUCUCCUGCGACAAACCAAUGAAACUGCUCUCCUAGUACAAAAGCUGGGAUAACCACACAAGACGAGAAGACCCUGUGGAGCUUUUAACUUCACCACCAACCCGUACCAGAACCCAUGGUGCUAACUUUAAGUUGGGGCAACUACGGAGAACCACUAAACCUCCACGAAACAGGACCAAACCCCGCCCCAGGCCUACAAGCCAAAGGCAACUACCAAAGACCCAGCAUAGCUGAACAUCGAACCAAGUUACCCCAGGGAUAACAGCGCCAUCCCCCUCAAGAGUCCCUAUCGCCAGGGGGGUUUACGACCUCGAUGUUGGAUCAGGACACCCCGGCGGUGCAGCCGCUGCCAACGGUUCGUUUGUUCAACGACUAACGUCCUACGUG